GAUGAACGCUGGCGGCGUGCCUAAUACAUGCAAGUCGAGCGAACAGACGAGGAGCUUGCUCCUCUGACGUUAGCGGCGGACGGGUGAGUAACACGUGGAUAACCUACCUAUAAGACUGGGAUAACUUCGGGAAACCGGAGCUAAUACCGGAUAAUAUAUUGAACCGCAUGGUUCAAUAGUGAAAGACGGUUUUGCUGUCACUUAUAGAUGGAUCCGCGCCGCAUUAGCUAGUUGGUAAGGUAACGGCUUACCAAGGCAACGAUGCGUAGCCGACCUGGGAGGGUGAUCGGCCACACUAGACCUGAGACACGGUCCAGACUCCUACGGGAGGCAGAAGUAGGGAAUCUUCCGCAAUGGGCGAAAGCCUGACGGAGCAACGCCGCGUGGGUGAUGAAGGUCUUCGGAUCGUAAAACUCUGUUAUUAGGGAAGAACAAAUGUGUAAGUAACUAUGCACGUCUUGACGGUACCUAAUCAGAAAGCCACGGCUAACUACGUG
This 497-nucleotide ribosomal RNA is filed under the name uncultured bacterium. Its description in RNAcentral is "partial 16S ribosomal RNA". It matches the Rfam family "Bacterial small subunit ribosomal RNA", at positions 28 to 507 of the family's 1533-position model. The record is from RNAcentral.